Haliotis rubra (blacklip abalone) is the source of this 349-nucleotide long non-coding RNA. RefSeq lists it as uncharacterized. The transcript is spliced from 3 exons. NCBI's taxonomy places the organism in Eukaryota, Metazoa, Mollusca, Gastropoda, Lepetellida, Haliotidae. The record is from RefSeq and is a predicted model, not a curated record.
GAGGGCAAAGUUCCUGUGGGAAAGUUUCCUUGUGGGCAAGGGUCCCUGAGGGCAAAGGUCCUGUGGGGAAAGGUCCUUCUGGGCAAAGGUCCUGUGGGGAAAGGUCCUUGAGGGCAAAGUUCUUGUGGGGAAAGGUCCUUGUGGGCAAAGUUCCUGUGGGCAAAGGUCCUUGUGGGCAAAGUUCCUGUGGGCAAAGGUCCUUGAGGGCAAAGUUCCUGUGGGCAAAGGUCCUUGAGGGCAAAGUUCCUGUGGGGAAAGGUCCUUGUGGGCAAAGUUCCUGUGGGCAAAGGUCCUUGUGGGCAAAGUUCCUGUGGGCAAAGGUCCUUGAGGGCAAAGUUCCUGUGGGCAA